ACGGAGGGUGCAAGCGUUAUUCGGAAUUACUGGGCGUAAAGGGCGCGCAGGCGGGAGAAUAAGUCAGAUGUGAAAUCCCGGGGCUUAACCCCGGAACGGCAUUUGAAACGGUUUAGCUUGAGUACUGGAGAGGAAGGGAGAAUUCCCGGUGUAGAGGUGAAAUGCGUAGAGAUCGGGAGGAACAGCAGUGGCGAAGGCGCCCCUCUGGACAGCAACUGACGCUGAGGCGCGAAAGCGUGGGGAGCAAACAG
This 251-nucleotide ribosomal RNA is filed under the name uncultured prokaryote. RNAcentral describes it as "partial 16S rRNA". It matches the Rfam family "Bacterial small subunit ribosomal RNA", at positions 525 to 775 of the family's 1533-position model. The record is from RNAcentral.